Molecule: ribosomal RNA, 256 nt
Filed under: uncultured bacterium
Lineage: Bacteria
Description: partial 16S ribosomal RNA
Rfam family: Bacterial small subunit ribosomal RNA
Source: RNAcentral
UACAGAGGUGGCAAGCGUUGUUCGGAAUUACUGGGCGUAAAGGGCGCGUAGGCGGCCUUCUAAGUCAGACGUGAAAUCCCCAGGCUUAACUUGGGAACUGCGUCUGAUACUGGGAGGCUUGAGUGCGGGAGAGGGAUGUGGAAUUCCAGGUGUAGCGGUGAAAUGCGUAGAUAUCUGGAGGAACACCGGUGGCGAAGGCGGCAUCCUGGACCGACACUGACGCUGAGGCGCGAAAAGCUAGGGGGAGCAAACGGGG